GGAUUGUGGCUCAGCGGUAGAGCGCUCACCUCGCACGAGCAAGACCCUGGGUUCAAUCCUCAGCACCA
Molecule: transfer RNA, 68 nt
Filed under: Marmota monax (woodchuck)
Lineage: Eukaryota; Metazoa; Chordata; Mammalia; Rodentia; Sciuridae
Description: tRNA.Ala
Source: RNAcentral